This is a long non-coding RNA of Syngnathus typhle (broad-nosed pipefish), 1405 nucleotides long. RefSeq lists it as uncharacterized. NCBI's taxonomy places the organism in Eukaryota, Metazoa, Chordata, Actinopteri, Syngnathiformes, Syngnathidae. The transcript has 2 exons. The record is from RefSeq and is a predicted model, not a curated record.
GAAAAAUCAAAGACAAAGUAAAGAAACUUAACAUUUGUACGUUUGAACGCCAGUAGGCACGGCUCCAGGAGCUCCUUCCGCUGAGAAAAUAAUUUCUAAAAUCGACGUGUUAUUAACUAUUUUAACCUCAAUUCAAUGUUGUGUAUUUUUUUGUAACUUAGUAUUAUUUUUCUCAUUUAAAUUGAGUUAGCUGUUUUAAAACCGCAAGAUGCUCCAAGAUAAGAACUGUCAACAAGUUGGUGCUGCCCUCGUCGCGCCAGAUCGCAAAUCGGCAUUUACAAAACCAGGCAAUGACCCUUUGUCCUUUACAAGCUAGUACUAGCUAGAGUACUCAUUGUUUAAAUUGACGAAUAAAAUAUUGUUGAUAUGAAAAAGACAACACAGGUUUUAAAUCAGGCAUCGACACAGGCAGGCAGUCAGUUCGCUUCCUUCCCGUUGAACGGAGAAACGAAGGGGGGGGGUUGUGUGUGUGUGUGUGUGUGUCAAGAGCGUCAGGAGGAAAACAACCAAGAACCCGGCCAAAGGUGAUCGCCAAGGCCGAAAGACGAGAUGGAAAACAACAGCCCUCACACACACACCGAAUCACCCAUAAUCAGCACCCACCCCCACGGAACCAGCUCUCACCGAACCAGCACCCACUCCCAUGGAACCAUGUGAACUUGCCACGCCCCCUGACUGAUCACCCAUCAAACUCGGCCCACACUGGCAUGUGCAACUGAAUGUAAGCUGACCAAAGAACCUUGAACGUUGCCUUUUCUGAAUGGAGACUUUCUGCUCAUGAGCAUGGUCGCAUAAAAGGCCCAGCGCUGUAUUGUCCUUUCCUGAAAACAGAGCUUUCUUAACAAUUGUGACUGAACUCAACCAACCUGUGUAAGUCAAAAUUUAGUUUCGGUGUCUUAGCCUUUUCCUAAAACUGAAGAAAUAAAACGAGCACGCCUUUUCUUUAUUUAUUUCCAGGUCACGUUGACUCUGGAGCUUUACGUGUAGCUUGCUAGUUUAAUGUAACUUAGCGCUUUGUCCAUGAAUAAAAUUAGCAUGAAGAGACCCUCAUCAUGGAAAAGGCUAGAAGAAAUGCAUAAGAGUGACAACGAAAGAGUGUGACUAAGUAUAUCUGAUGCUAUUCCAAUCUGACACUGAGGAGGUGGUUUCAGUGCACAGGAGGAAGAUGAAGAUGGCUCUUAGUGACUUUUACUAGUAUUUUUUUUUUUAACCAGCCCUGUUAGUGCUGUGCUACCGUGUUGCUGUUUUGUUACCGCCGCAUCUCAGUGACUUUUACCGAUAUGUUUUUUUUUUAUCCAGCCCUAUUAGUGCAGUGUUACUUCUGUGUUGCUGCGGUAUUACUGCCGCGUUACAGGCAGUGUUUGGAAAGAAAUGUUAAGGUAUGUUAUUAAAAGUUGAAAAAGGC